AGGGAUUGCCUCAGUAACGGCGAGUGAAGCGGCAACAGCUCAAAUUUGAAAUCUGGCUCUUUCAGGGUCCGAGUUGUAAUUUGUAGAAAAUGCUUCGGGUGUGGUGCCGGUCUAAGUUCCUUGUAACAGGACGUCAUAUAGGGUGAGAAUCCCGUACGUGACCGUGCGCCUACGCUCAUGUGAAGCUCUUUCAACGAGUCGAGUUGUUUGGGAAUGCAGCUCAAAAUGGGUGGUAUAUUUCAUCUAAAGCUAAAUAUUGGCCCAGAGACCGAUAGCGCACAAGUAGAGUGAUCGAAAGAUGAAAAGCACUUUGGAAAGAGAGUUAAACAGUACGUGAAAUUGUUGAAAGGGAAGCGCUUGCAACCAGACUUGCACGCGGUUGAUCAUCCGGGGUUCUCCCCGGUGCACUCGAUCGUGUUCAGGCCAGCAUCAGUUUUGGUGGUUGGAUAAAGGCCUUGGGAAUGUAGCUCCUCUCGGGGAGUGUUAUAGCCCUCGGUGUCAUGCAGCCAACUGGGACUGAGGACCGCGCUUCGGCUAGGAUGCUGGCGUAAUGGUUGUAAGCGACCCGUCUUGAAACACGGACCAAGGAGUCUAAUAUCUAUGCGAGUAUUUGGGUGUCAAACCCAUCUGCGCAAUGAAAGUGAACGGAGGUGAGAACCCGCAAGGGCGCAUCAUCGACCGAUCCUGAUGUCUUCGGAUGGAUUUGAGUAAGAGCAUAGCUAUUGGGACCCGAAAGAGAGUGAACUUUACGUGAAUAGGGUGAAGUCAGAGGAAACUCUGAUGGAGGCUCGCAGCGGUUCUGACGUGCAAAUCGAUCGUCAAAUUUGCGUAAAGGGGCGAAAGACUA
RNAcentral lists this ribosomal RNA (847 nucleotides) under Helvella maculata. RNAcentral describes it as "eukaryotic LSU rRNA". It matches the Rfam family "Eukaryotic large subunit ribosomal RNA", at positions 70 to 933 of the family's 3401-position model. Lineage: Eukaryota; Fungi; Ascomycota; Pezizomycetes; Pezizales; Helvellaceae. RNAcentral also lists the same sequence under 1 other name. The record is from RNAcentral.